Molecule: long non-coding RNA, 447 nt
Organism: Elaeis guineensis (African oil palm)
Lineage: Eukaryota; Viridiplantae; Streptophyta; Magnoliopsida; Arecales; Arecaceae
Source: RefSeq, a predicted model, not a curated record
UUUCGAUUUCUCCAAACCUAGCAUUAUAAAUAUCGUAACACAGCCCGCUGUCCCUUUCCGAGAACAGGAAGCCGCUCGGAGGAAGGGAGGAGAUCAGCGACUAGAUCGGAGAAGAGAUGAGGGCCAAGUGGAAGAAGAAGCGGAUGAGGAGACUUAAGAGGAAGCGCCGAAAGAUGCGGCAGAGAUCAAAGUAGGUGAUGAAGGUGUCAGCAUCCUUGAGUCACGCUCACACAAUGUGGUGUCUAUUCAUGCACCUGAUGUUGAGUGUUUUAUAGGAGGCGAAGCUACUUUAUGUCCUUCAAUUACUUGUUUGGCAGUAGUAGAACUUGGAUAGUUUGCUUGACAGCUUGAUGUUCUUGUGUUUUGUUUGACCAUUGAGAACUUCUUUGUAAGGCAUUAUUUGGAAGGAAUCCAAUGUCAACAUUUGAAUUCCAUGAAGUACUAUUU